GACGAACGCUGGCGGCGUGCUUAAUACAUGCAAGUCGAACGGACAGACGCUGCUCUUGCGCCGCUCACGUUUGCGGCAGAGGUGUGAGUCACACGUGUAUCAUCCCCCUGUCUUUCUGGGAACAUCUCGGGACUCGGGAUCUUAUCCGGUAGGAUCUCUUGCUGCGUGUUGUUGAAUGGUAAGUUUCGGCGGUUGGGGAUGGACUGGAGGCUUACCAGCUUGUUGGUGGGGUAGGUGCUGACCAGGGCUUUGACGGGUAGCCGGCAUGAGAGGGUGACCGGCCACAUUGGGACUGAGAUACGGCCCAGACUCCUACGGGAGGCAGCAGUGGGGAAUAUUGCACAAUGGGCGGAAGCCUGAUGCAGCAACGCCGCGUGCGGGAUGAAGGCCUUCGGGUUGUAAACCGCUUUCGCCUGUGACGAAGCGUGAGUGACGGUAAUGGGUAAAGAAGCACCGGCUAACUACGUG
Molecule: ribosomal RNA, 468 nt
Filed under: uncultured bacterium
Lineage: Bacteria
Description: partial 16S ribosomal RNA
Rfam family: Bacterial small subunit ribosomal RNA
Source: RNAcentral